RNAcentral lists this transfer RNA (84 nucleotides) under Laccaria amethystina LaAM-08-1. It matches the Rfam family "tRNA". Rfam says of the family: Transfer RNA (tRNA) molecules are approximately 80 nucleotides in length. Their secondary structure includes four short double-helical elements and three loops (D, anti-codon, and T loops). Lineage: Eukaryota; Fungi; Basidiomycota; Agaricomycetes; Agaricales; Hydnangiaceae. The record is from Rfam by way of RNAcentral.
UCCUCCUUAGCUCAGUUGGUAGAGCGCGUCACUUGUAUGUUAACUACUAUGACGAGGUCAGUCGUUCAAGUCGGCUAGGCGGAA